GACGAACGCUGGCGGCGUGCUUAACACAUGCAAGUCGAACGGAAAGUCCCUGCUUUUGUGUUUUUCUCUAUUGUCGAACUGGUGAGUAACACUUGAGUAACCUUCCCUUUACUUUGUGAUAACUUCAUGAAACUGUGUCUCAUACCGUCUAGGAUCUCCUGCUUCAUGUUGGUGUUUGGAAAGUUUCGGCGGUUGGGGAUGUACUCGCGUCUUAUCAGCUUGUUGGUGGGAUAGUGGCUUACCAAGGUUUUGACGGGUAGCCGGCAUGAGAGGGUUACCGGACACAUUGGGACUGAGAUAAGGACCAGAAUAGUACGGGAGGCAGCAGUGGGGAAUAUUGCACAAUGGGCGGAAGGAUGAUGCAGAAAAGCCGCGUGCGGGAUGACGGCAUUCGGGUUGUAAACAGAUUUCGAAUGUGACGAAGAGUGAGUGACGGUAAUGGGUAAAGAAGCAACGGCUAACUACGUG
This 468-nucleotide ribosomal RNA is filed under the name uncultured bacterium. RNAcentral describes it as "partial 16S ribosomal RNA". It matches the Rfam family "Bacterial small subunit ribosomal RNA", at positions 28 to 507 of the family's 1533-position model. The record is from RNAcentral.